RNAcentral lists this long non-coding RNA (2367 nucleotides) under Daphnia magna. RNAcentral describes it as "uncharacterized LOC116935723, transcript variant X3". The record is from RNAcentral. Lineage: Eukaryota; Metazoa; Arthropoda; Branchiopoda; Diplostraca; Daphniidae.
AUCGUUUGACAAUUAAUCUAGAAGUGCUGGAAUGCUAUAUCAGCUGUAAAAACUUUUGAGAUUAUAAAUGAUCAUAUUUUGAGAUUAUUUUUUUGUUUAUUUGAAUCUCAAGAGGGAAAUCAAAAGAUUUUGCUAUGAUAAGUAACCAUUUCACUCAUAAGAAGUAAUUUACUUAGAAGUUCCCUGUUACAUUGAAAACAAGAGGAAUAUAGGAAAUCUACGAAUAAUUUUAUCACAUUCUUUUCCAUAUGAAACGAAAGGUCUUUACUAUUUGUUGAAUUUCUCAUUGUCUGUUGUCUACAAGUUAAAUCAGAGGUUCCUACUUGCUUCUGUAAACCAGCCUGUAACCUAAAAGGUAUUUGAUUUGAAGGAGGAAAAGACCACUCGAAAGAAGAUACUGAAAAUGGAACAUCCUUGUUCAGAUGUUCCAACUUGCCCCUGGAUAGUAGCCAAUAGUCUGAAAAUAGAUAGUCGACCAUAGAAAACUGACUGGUUGUAUAUGGGUGGAAAUCUACUUGACCAUGCAAAAAGUUGACAAAUGUCCUGGUAAUGAGAAAAAAAAACUAAAGAUAUUUAGCAAAUGUGUUUUACUAAGCACUAUUGUGUGAUGUAUUAGAAACUCCUGAAAUAGCAUCAUACAUCUGUGAUUGAAAUCAAUUAACCAAAGUAAUGAUGAAUCAACUGGGAAAAGUAUUCAUCCUGAAACUGAUUCAACUAAACAUAGGUAGCUGAAGUACUGAACAAGGAUGGACGAUGGUCCUGAAGGAAACCAUACAAAACUUUUGGCAAUUUACAGGUUGAUAGCUUCUUAUGAAUUACUAUAUGUUGACAUUUAUUUAAAAAAACAGCAACAGACUGCCUAUUAUGGAGAUUAAUGAAAAAUUUUCUGUUGCAAAAGUGUCUAAAUCUAGAAAUCUUUGUUUUCUGGAUGUCUAUGCAAGUUCAAUGCUUUUUUAAUCUGACAUUGUGGAAGAAACUACUGCUGCUGAUGAAUAGUGCCAUUGAAUAUAGUCGCAUCAUUGAUUAGUUAGUUAACCUCCACCGGAACUGUUAUCUUGUUGACUUCCAUUGAUUCUAUUUGCCGAAAUAGUAGAUCUGGUGGGAUUAAGAGGAAAACGACAAUGUUGGAGAUCUCGUAUUCCAGAAAAUAUUAUAAAUUCGGGUCUCUGAAAAGUACAGCUAGUGAGCACCUUCCCAUUGAAUUUCGUGUAUCAAACAGUUGGAAGUUACCAGAUUUUUUUAAUCGUUCUGUAGUCAGAAGUAUGAGAGCCCGAAAAGAGUGGCAACCCUGUUUCGUACAGAGAACAAGGAAUUAAGGUGUUCCAGUUUGAAAUUGUGAAAGUUUAUUGUCUUGUUGGAUGCCUAUGUUUCAAACCAAAUGUAUCUGCUUGACAAGUGAAUAUUAUACUGAACCCUUCAGUUGAUGUUCUACUGCCCAACAUGCAUGGGAAGUAUUAGUUUCUCAGUUUAACCAAAUGAUUGCUCAGUUGUUGUUUGCAACUGAGGCUUUUUUUUUUUUACCCUUUAGGAAAUGCUUACAAGAUGUGUUAUCGACCGUAUAUCUUAUACAAUAAGAAGAUUUGCAAUUACUGUGGCCUGGCGAAAGUAAUUGGGAAGUAUGCUCCAUAAAGAACUUAUGUCAUGAAGGUUUUUUUGUACGACGUCCAGUAUUAGCUGUUCACAAAAUAGAUUGAUUCCAACAAGAUGGCUAUUGCAAAACGGGAUUUUUUUUUCUUUUAAAUGGAGAGUUCUAGCUAUCUUGGAAAGACUAUCAAAGAAGCCAUUAUGCAGCAUUCGUGCUAUGCUUUGUUCAACGCAUUUGGAAACGAAUUUUGUGAUGACUAAUACAACAAUUAACAAGAGUUCAUAGGGUCGUAAUGAAGCUCGGAAAUGAUUUUAAUGGAUCUUUGGGGCCAAAAUAAUGGAUAGGAGUUGGAGGGACGACCGAAAAUAUCCUUGUAUUUAUUAUUUUCUCUAUUUGUUGUGGUACUGUGGCAGACAUAUUGGAGUUCAUUUGUGGGGUUCCCUAGUUUUCUGUGGCCCUAUUUCCCGUGAUAACACUUGUGAUAAUAAGCCCGUAGCGGGUUAUGGCAACACUAUGAUCAGCACGAGAAGGUUGGGAGUGCGCUGUCUAGAAGGUGAGUGUGGGUCGUUAACUAUGAGAUUAUUGGAGGGCUACGGUGUAACCCGAAAACACAACGGGUAAUCAACCCGUCGAUUAGGUUAAUGGAGGGUUAUGGAGCUAUUCGAAAACAUAACAGGUAAUAUACCCGUCGGGGCAAUUGAGUUGGUGUAACCGUAUGUCUUGCUGGGCUACUAUGUUGUUUGUAAAUGUCUGAUAAACUGCAAUAAAAUAAUUUCAAAAGA